RNAcentral lists this unclassified non-coding RNA (1396 nucleotides) under Leishmania donovani. Its description in RNAcentral is "gene:LdHU3.05.1320(CDS-product:fatty_acid_elongas e_putative)". Lineage: Eukaryota; Euglenozoa; Kinetoplastea; Trypanosomatida; Trypanosomatidae. The record is from RNAcentral.
UCUGCACGCACGUCCAUCACACGGCAGCGGCACCCAGCACUCGUUGUCCCCACCUCCACCCCACAAGCGACUGAAACACACACACCCACAAGCACGCGAAACUCCACCUGCUUUAUAUAUCAGUGUUCUGUCGAGGAGAUGAAGUUUGCGGACGCCGUGCAGUGCAUCGGGAAGGAGUCCCUCUGCUUCCACCCAGAGCUCAACGUCUUCGUGAACUACCCCGUGUUGAUUGGGUGCCACAUUGGCUACCUCGUCGUCAUCAUCUUGCUCUACAAAUUCAUGGAGGGGCGCACGGCGUACGUGCUAAAGUACCCCAUGAUGCUGUACAACACGGCACAGGUGGCGCUGUCGUUGGCGAUGGCGAUCAACCUCGGUCAGUUCCUCGUCUAUGGCGUCUUCAACUUGAACGGGCGCUUCACCGCCACCAUCGAGUACUGGAUUUUCGUUCACUACGCCACAAAGUUUCUCGAUAUGUUCGACACGUACUUCAUUGUGCUGCGCAAGAAAGAAGAGCAGCUGUCCUUCCUGCACAUCUACCACCACUUGACGAUCGGCUUCAUCUGGGGCCUGCUGCUGCAUCACGGCGUCGCGAACGGCACCGCCUUCUUUGGCGCGUGGAUCAACUCCGCUGUCCACGCGCUCAUGUACUUCCAUUACCUGUACACCUCCCUCGGCUACACGAACCCGCUCAAGAAGUACCUGACGCAGGUGCAGAUGGCCCAGUUUGCGUUUUGCAUCCUGCACGCGGUGCUGGCCGUCGUGGCGCACUCGCCGAUCCCCAAAAAGUGGGCGGUGCUGCAGCUGUGCUACCACAUGACGCUGCUGUACCUCUUCAUGCAGUUCUACCGAAAGAACAUGCGCAAGCUGAAGCGCAAGGCGAAGGCGUAGGCGACGUCCGGAGAAGGGGCGAGGAGGGAGAGAAGAAGGGGAGAGCGCAGUGCACACGCAUAACGAACGGUCGAUUAUGCUGGUGUCGUUGCUUCUUUUGAGCUUCGUGCGGAAGCAACGGUGUACGUCUGCUACGAUGGCCACCUCCGGCCACAAGUACCCACCCCGGGGAACGGCCUCCGCCUGCCUCCCUCCCCCUCCUCGGGAGUUGUUGUGUUUUACUUUUUAAGCAGGGUAUUGUAGUGUCUCCACCACCACCACCACCACCCCACCCACUCUCUUGUCGCCGUAUGGGAGGUGAAUGGAGGGGAGCAGCGUGAUGGCCGAGAUCACUGUCGCUACACACAUCCUUAGACGCACAGACACACAGGCACGAACAUUCCCACGUACACAUACUUGCCGAAAGACGACUGUGGCUAUCCUCCAUCUCCAUAUGUGUUUCUGCUGCGGUGAGUUGCUGCUCUUUGCCUCACCCUCCUCCUUGCACCAUCGCAGUAGCUAGCGCAUG